CCUGGAACGAAUUGCAAAAAUUGCUGAAGCUGGAGACUUAUAUUUCCCUCACUAACUUUAAACAUCAGCUAUCUGAGCAGCUAACCGAUCGCUGCAGCUGUACAUAGUCCAUCUGUAAAUAGCCCACCCAAUCCACAGACUACAAAUGUCGGUGAUGUUUGUGUCCAGUAUGAAGGAAGUUAAAGUUAGUUGUUGGUGACCUGCAGCGAUACAGACGAAGAGUACCUGCUGUCCCGAAGGCUUCUGCCCUACGACCUUGGCUACGGUGCUAACAGUCAGAGUGAAGCAGAGACAGAUCAGACUCCAGAUCAUGUUGUAGUUGAGGGAAGCAGCACAACGGACAAAGAACCGACCAGAUUCUCCACAGAGGAGUUUCCCGUUUCAACUACCGACAAGCGUGUCCUUUACAGGAUCUAUAAAGAGGAAACCAACGAGCAGAGAACAAUCCUCAGAAUCGUAAAUGCUCUUACCACUCUGGAGGACUUCAAGAGACUAUCCCUUUGGUGUCUGAGGGUGUGAGUACAAUUCUAAUACAUGUGAUGUCUUGCUCAACAUGUGGCAGUAACUUACAGUAACUGGUAACACUAGUAUUACUGUGUUGAUUUCACAAUUUGAUGCUCACUGUCUUCUAAUUAUCUACAGUCUAUACACCAGGUUAGCCCAGCUAGUAGCAGACGCCAGGUUAGCCCAGCUAGUAGCAGACGCCAGGUUAGCCCAGCUAGUAGCAGACGCCAGGUUAGCCCAUCUAGUAGCAGACGCCAGGUUAGCCCAGCUAGUAGCAGACGCCAG
RNAcentral lists this long non-coding RNA (789 nucleotides) under Salmo salar (Atlantic salmon). RNAcentral's name for it is "lncRNA (ENSSSAG00000093710.1)". The record is from RNAcentral. Lineage: Eukaryota; Metazoa; Chordata; Actinopteri; Salmoniformes; Salmonidae.